GCAUAUCAAUAAGCGGAGGAAAAGAAACCAACGGGGAUUGCCCUAGUAACGGCGAGUGAAGCGGCAACAGCUCAAAUUUGAAAUCUGGCUCUUUCAGGGUCCGAGUUGUAAUUUGUAGAGGGUGCUUUGGCGUUGACUGUGGUCUAAGUUCCUUGGAACAGGACGUCGCAGAGGGUGAGAAUCCCGUAUGUGGCCGCCAGUCUUCGCCGUGUAAAGCCCCUUCGACGAGUCGAGUUGUUUGGGAAUGCAGCUCUAAAUGGGAGGUAAAUUUCUUCUAAAGCUAAAUAUUGGCCAGAGACCGAUAGCGCACAAGUAGAGUGAUCGAAAGAUGAAAAGCACUUUGGAAAGAGAGUCAAAAAGCACGUGAAAUUGUUGAAAGGGAAGCGCUUGCAGCCAGACUUGCCUGUAGUUGCUCAUCCGGGCUUUCGAGCCCGGUGCACUCUUCUACGGGCAGGCCAGCAUCAGUCCUGGCGGUUGGAUAAAUGUCUGCGCAAUGUACCUCUCCUCGGGGAGGACUUAUAGGUGCAGGCGGCAUACAACCAGCCGGGAUUGAGGUCCGCGCAUCUGCUAGGAUGCUGGCGUAAUGGCUGUAAGCGGCCCGUCUUGAAACACGGACCAAGGAGUCUAACAUCUAUGCGAGUGUUUGGGUGUCAAGCCCGAGCGCGUAAUGAAAGUGAACGGAGGUGGGAACCCCUCGGGGUGCACCAUCGACCGAUCCUGAUGUCUUCGGAUGGAUUUGAGUAAGAGCAUAGCUGUUGGGACCCGAAAGAUGGUGAACUAUGCCUGAAUAGGGUGAAGCCAGAGGAAACUCUGGUGGGAGGCUCGCAGCGGUUCUGACGUGCAAAUCGAUCGUCAAAUUUGGGCAUAGGGGCGAAAGACUAAUCGAAACUAUCUAGUAGCUGGGUUCCUGCCGAAG
RNAcentral lists this ribosomal RNA (916 nucleotides) under Preussia intermedia. Its description in RNAcentral is "LSU rRNA". It matches the Rfam family "Eukaryotic large subunit ribosomal RNA", at positions 38 to 966 of the family's 3401-position model. Lineage: Eukaryota; Fungi; Ascomycota; Dothideomycetes; Pleosporales; Sporormiaceae. The record is from RNAcentral.